This 255-nucleotide ribosomal RNA is filed under the name uncultured bacterium. Its description in RNAcentral is "partial 16S ribosomal RNA". It matches the Rfam family "Bacterial small subunit ribosomal RNA", at positions 524 to 776 of the family's 1533-position model. The record is from RNAcentral.
UACAGGGGGGUGCAAGCGUUGCUCGGAAUCACUGGGCGUAAAGGGCGCGUAGGCGGCUUAUCAAGUCGGGGGUGAAAGCCCGUGGCUCAACCACGGAAUGGCCCUUCGAUACUGGUAGGCUUGAGACCGGAAGAGGACAGCGGAACUGCGAGUGUAGAGGUGAAAUUCGUAGAUAUUCGCAAGAACACCAGUGGCGAAGGCGGCUGUCUGGUCCGGUUCUGACGCUGAGGCGCGAAAGCGUGGGGAGCAAACAGG